GAGUGGGGAGGAGAGAGGGACAGAGAGCCUGCUUCUUUAAAGGAGCAAAGCAGGAGAGGAGAGGAGCCACUUACACGAGUGUAAGCGGCUCCUGUCUGGUUGGUUCCUUUAAAGCAAGCAGGCUCUCUGUCCCUCUCUCCUCCCCACUC
RNAcentral lists this microRNA precursor (149 nucleotides) under Podarcis lilfordi (Lilford's wall lizard). Lineage: Eukaryota; Metazoa; Chordata; Lepidosauria; Squamata; Lacertidae. The record is from RNAcentral.